GACGAACGCUGGCGGCGUGCUUAACACAUGCAAGUCGAACGGAAAGGCCCUGCUUUUGUGGGGUUCUCGAGUGGCGAACGGGUGAGUAACACGUGAGUAACCUGCCCUUGACUUUCGGAUAACUUCAGGAAACUGGGGCUAAUACCGGAUAGGAGCUCCUGCUGCAUGGUGGGGGUUGGAAAGUUUCGGCGGUUGGGUAUGGACUCGCGGCUUAUCAGCUUGUUGGUGGGGUAGUGGCUUACCAAGGCUUUGACGGGUAGCCGGCCUGAGAGGGUGACCGGCAACAUGGGGACUGAGAUACGGACCAGACUCAUACGGGAGGCAGCAGUGGGGAAUAUUGCACAAUGGGCGGAAGACUGAUGCAGCAACGCCGCGUGCGGGAUGACGGCCUUCGGGUUGUAAACCGCUUUCGCCUGUGACGAAGCGUGAGUGACGGUAAUGGGUAAAGAAGCACCGGCUAACUACGUG
Molecule: ribosomal RNA, 468 nt
Filed under: uncultured bacterium
Lineage: Bacteria
Description: partial 16S ribosomal RNA
Rfam family: Bacterial small subunit ribosomal RNA
Source: RNAcentral